Molecule: ribosomal RNA, 253 nt
Filed under: uncultured bacterium
Lineage: Bacteria
Description: partial 16S ribosomal RNA
Rfam family: Bacterial small subunit ribosomal RNA
Source: RNAcentral
UACAGAGGGUGCGAGCGUUGUCCGGAAUCACUGGGCGUAAAGGGCGCGUAGGCGGCUUGAUAAGCGUGCGGUGAAAGCCCGGGGCUCACCCCCGGAAGUGCAUUGGAAACUGGUGGACUCGAGUCCCGGAGAGGAGAGUGGAAUUCCUGGUGUAGCGGUGAAAUGCGUAGAUAUCAGGAGGAACACCGGUGGCGAAGGCGGGUCUCUGGGCAACAACUGACGCUGAGGAGCGAAAGCGUGGGGAGCGAACAGG